This is a non-coding RNA of Schistosoma haematobium, 45 nucleotides long. Lineage: Eukaryota; Metazoa; Platyhelminthes; Trematoda; Strigeidida; Schistosomatidae. The record is from Rfam.
AUUCAGCUGAGGAGUCCCAAAUAGAACAAAACGUGAGUCCUGGAU